RNAcentral lists this ribosomal RNA (253 nucleotides) under uncultured bacterium. RNAcentral describes it as "partial 16S ribosomal RNA". It matches the Rfam family "Bacterial small subunit ribosomal RNA", at positions 524 to 776 of the family's 1533-position model. The record is from RNAcentral.
UACGUAGGGUGCGAGCGUUACUCGGAAUUACUGGGCGUAAAGCGUGCGCAGGCGGUCGUGCAAGACAGAUGUGAAAUCCCCGGGCUUAACCUGGGAACUGCAUUUGUGACUGUACGGCUGGAGUGCGGCAGAGGGGGAUGGAAUUCCGCGUGUAGCAGUGAAAUGCGUAGAUAUGCGGAGGAACACCGAUGGCGAAGGCAAUCCCCUGGGCCUGCACUGACGCUCAUGCACGAAAGCGUGGGGAGCAAACAGG